Molecule: ribosomal RNA, 1218 nt
Filed under: fungal endophyte
Lineage: Eukaryota; Fungi
Also listed under: 1 other name
Description: eukaryotic LSU rRNA
Rfam family: Eukaryotic large subunit ribosomal RNA
Source: RNAcentral
AACAGCUCAAAUUUGAAAUCUGGCCCUAGGCCCGAGUUGUAAUUUGCAGAGGAUGCUUUUGGUGCGGUGCCUUCCAAGUUCCCUAGAACGGGACGCCAGAGAGGGUGAGAGCCCCGUACAGUUGGACACCAAGCCUUUGUAAAGCUCCUUCGACGAGUCGAGUAGUUUGGGAAUGCUGCUCAAAAUGGGAGGUAUAUUUCUUCUAAAGCUAAAUACCGGCCAGAGACCGAUAGCGCACAAGUAGAGUGAUCGAAAGAUGAAAAGCACUUUGAAAAGAGGGUUAAACAGCACGUGAAAUUGUUAAAAGGGAAGCGCUUGUGACCAGACUUGCGUCCGGUGAAUCACCCAGCUCUCGCGGCUGGGGCACUUCGCCGGCUCAGGCCAGCAUCAGCUCGCUGUCGGGGACAAAAGCUUCAGGAACGUAGCUCUCUUCGGGGAGUGUUAUAGCCUGUUGCAUAAUACCCUUCGGCGGGCUGAGGUACGCGCUCCGCAAGGAUGCUGGCAUAAUGGUCAUCAGCGACCCGUCUUGAAACACGGACCAAGGAGUCAACCUUAUGUGCGAGUGUUCGGGUGUCAAACCCCUACGCGUAAUGAAAGUGAACGCAGGUGAGAGCUUCGGCGCAUCAUCGACCGAUCCUGAUGUUCUCGGAUGGAUUUGAGUAAGAGCAUAUAGGGUUGGACCCGAAAGAAGGUGAACUAUGCGUGUAUAGGGUGAAGCCAGAGGAAACUCUGGUGGAGGCUCGCAGCGGUUCUGACGUGCAAAUCGAUCGUCAAAUAUGCGCAUGGGGGCGAAAGACUAAUCGAACCUUCUAGUAGCUGGUUUCCGCCGAAGUUUCCCUCAGGAUAGCAGUGUUGAACUCAGUUUUAUGAGGUAAAGCGAAUGAUUAGGGACUCGGGGGCGCUAUAUUGCCUUCAUCCAUUCUCAAACUUUAAAUAUGUAAGAAGCCCUUGUUACUUAAUUGAACGUGGGCAUUCGAAUGUAUCAACACUAGUGGGCCAUUUUUGGUAAGCAGAACUGGCGAUGCGGGAUGAACCGAACGCGAGGUUAAGGUGCCAGAGUAGACGCUCAUCAGACACCACAAAAGGUGUUAGUACAUCUUGACAGCAGGACGGUGGCCAUGGAAGUCGGAAUCCGCUAAGGACUGUGUAACAACUCACCUGCCGAAUGUACUAGCCCUGAAAAUGGAUGGCGCUCAAGCGUCUCACCCAUACCUCGCC